This 72-nucleotide transfer RNA is filed under the name Sphaerodactylus townsendi. RNAcentral's name for it is "tRNA-Ala". The record is from RNAcentral. Lineage: Eukaryota; Metazoa; Chordata; Lepidosauria; Squamata; Sphaerodactylidae.
GCCCUGGCUCAGGGGUUAGAGAGCGUCCGUGUGGCACGCAGAAGGUCCCAAGUUGAAUCCCUGGAAUCUCCG